GUGAGGAAUAUUGCGCAAUGGAGGCAACUCUGACGCAGCCAUGCCGCGUGCAGGAAGAAGGCGCUACGCGUUGUAAACUGCUUUUAACCGGGAAGAAACCCCAGGACGUGUCCUGGGUUGACGGUACCGGAGGAAUAAGCACCGGCUAACUUCGUGCCAGCAGCCGCGGUAAUACGAAGGGUGCAAGCGUUAUCCGGAUUCAUUGGGUUUAAAGGGUGCGUAGGCGGAGCGUUAAGUCAGUGGUGAAAUCCUGCAGCUUAACUGUAGACUUGCCAUUGAUACUGGCGCUCUUGAGUGCGCUUGAAGUGGGCGGAAUGUGCCGUGUAGCGGUGAAAUGCUUAGGUAUGGCACAGAACACCAAUUGCGAAGGCAGCUCACUAAGGCGAUACUGACGCUGAGGCACGAAAGCGUGGGGAUCGAACAGGAUUAGAAACCCCUGUAGUCC
RNAcentral lists this ribosomal RNA (445 nucleotides) under uncultured bacterium. RNAcentral's name for it is "partial 16S ribosomal RNA". It matches the Rfam family "Bacterial small subunit ribosomal RNA", at positions 354 to 796 of the family's 1533-position model. The record is from RNAcentral.